GUCAUCGGGGAGCUAGGCUGACCACAGCUGAGACUGUAACAGAUAGAGAGCAUGUGCUAGAGCGAGAAUGAGAGAGAGAGAGAGAGAGAGAGGGAAAAAGAGAGAAAGUAAAUGCAUCUGGAGGGAUUUUGUGGGCAAGGCCAAUGAUGGUGAAUUAUUUCUACUUAUAUUUCUGUAAAGAAACUCCAGUCACACGACUGUACUCACCUGUAGGAAAUUCUGGGAAAUGUAAUCUGUGUGUCCAAAGAAUGGACAAAGAAUGCUGUGGAUAGCUGGCAAUUCUUGUCACAUGUACCUAAAAUGCCUG
Molecule: long non-coding RNA, 307 nt
Filed under: Homo sapiens (human)
Lineage: Eukaryota; Metazoa; Chordata; Mammalia; Primates; Hominidae
Description: HSALNT0070732
Source: RNAcentral